This 632-nucleotide ribosomal RNA is filed under the name uncultured Sebacina. Its description in RNAcentral is "eukaryotic LSU rRNA". The stretch from base 218 to 371 matches the Rfam family "5.8S ribosomal RNA". The record is from RNAcentral. Lineage: Eukaryota; Fungi; Basidiomycota; Agaricomycetes; Sebacinales; Sebacinaceae.
AAGUCGUAACAAGGUUUCCGUAGGUGAACCUGCGGAAGGAUCAUUAAUGAUUGCGAAUCGUCGCCUUCAGUGCUGGCCGGCUUCGGCAAGUGCACGUCGGUGGCUUUCAUCCAAUACCCUGUGCACCUUUGGCCUCUUGCUAGCUUCGGCCGGCAGAGGAUUUUUACACACACUCGAAUGUAAUGAAAUUUAUUGUCGUGCGCAAGCACUAAUGUACAACUUUCAACAACGGAUCUCUUGGCUCUCGCAUCGAUGAAGAACGCAGCGAAAUGCGAUAAGUAAUGUGAAUUGCAGAAUUCAGUGAAUCAUCGAAUCUUUGAACGCACCUUGCACCCUUUGGCAUUCCGAAGGGUAUGCUCGUUUGAGUGUCAUUGUACUCUCACUCUCCCGAUACUUUUGGAUCGGGAGUGGUGGACUUGGGUGCUGCUGCUUAACUGUGGCUCGCCUCAAAUGAAGUAGUGCAACUCUCGGUUGGACAUAGUACGGCGUGAUAAGUAUCUUCGCCGGCGCCUCAUUCGAGGGUGGCCGAUCGGGAGCUCUGUGCUUCAAACCGUCUUCGGACAAUAUCUGACAACUUGACCUCAAAUCGAGUAGGACUACCCGCUGAACUUAAGCAUAUCAAUAAGCGGAGG